UACGGAGGAUGCGAGCGUUAUCCGGAUUUAUUGGGCUUAAAGGGUGCGUAGGCGGUCCGUUAAGUCAGCGGUAAAAUUGCGGGGCUCAACCCCGUCGAGCCGUUGAAACUGUCAGACUUGAGUUGGCGAGAAGUACGCGGAAUGCGCGGUGUAGCGGUGAAAUGCAUAGAUAUCGCGCAGAACUCCGAUUGCGAAGGCAGCGUACCGGCGCCACACUGACGCUGAGGCACGAAAGCGUGGGGAUCGAACAGG
RNAcentral lists this ribosomal RNA (252 nucleotides) under uncultured bacterium. RNAcentral's name for it is "partial 16S ribosomal RNA". It matches the Rfam family "Bacterial small subunit ribosomal RNA", at positions 524 to 776 of the family's 1533-position model. The record is from RNAcentral.